AUUGAACGCUGGCGGCAUGCCUUGCACAUGCAAGUCGAACGGCAGCACGGGAGCAAUCCUGGUGGCGAGUGGCGAACGGGUGAGUAAUGUAUCGGAACGUGCCCAGUCGUGGGGGAUAACGUAGCGAAAGCUACGCUAAUACCGCAUACGAUCUGUGGAUGAAAGCGGGGGACCGUAAGGCCUCGCGCGAUUGGAGCGGCCGAUAUCAGAUUAGGUAGUUGGUGGGGUAUAAGCCUACCAAGCCGACGAUCUGUAGCUGGUCUGAGAGGACGACCAGCCACACUGGGACUGAGACACGGCCCAGACUCCUACGGGAGGCAGCAGUGGGGAAUUUUGGACAAGGGGCGCAAGCCUGAUCCAGAAAUGCCGCGUGCAGGAUGAAGGCCUUCGGGUUGUAAACUGCUUUUGUACGGAGCGAAAAGGCUCUCUCUAAUACAGGGGGCUCAUGACGGUACCGUAAGAAUAAGCACCGGCUAACUACGUGCCAGCCGCCGCCUAA
Molecule: ribosomal RNA, 499 nt
Filed under: uncultured bacterium
Lineage: Bacteria
Description: partial 16S ribosomal RNA
Rfam family: Bacterial small subunit ribosomal RNA
Source: RNAcentral